GCUGGAAUAGCUCAGUUGGUUAGAGCGUGUGGCUGUUAACCACAAGGUGGGAGGUUCGACCCCUCCUUCUAGCG
RNAcentral lists this transfer RNA (74 nucleotides) under Brassica napus (rape). RNAcentral describes it as "tRNA tRNA-Asn". It matches the Rfam family "tRNA". From Rfam's summary of the family: Transfer RNA (tRNA) molecules are approximately 80 nucleotides in length. Their secondary structure includes four short double-helical elements and three loops (D, anti-codon, and T loops). Further hydrogen bonds mediate the characteristic L-shaped molecular structure. tRNAs have two regions of fundamental functional importance: the anti-codon, which is responsible for specific mRNA codon recognition, and the 3' end, to which the tRNAs corresponding amino acid is attached (by aminoacyl-tRNA synthetases). tRNAs cope with the degeneracy of the genetic code in two manners: having more than one tRNA (with a specific anti-codon) for a particular amino acid; and 'wobble' base-pairing, i.e. permitting non-standard base-pairing at the 3rd anti-codon position. The record is from Rfam by way of RNAcentral. Lineage: Eukaryota; Viridiplantae; Streptophyta; Magnoliopsida; Brassicales; Brassicaceae.